UUGUGCACAUGCGUGCACAUCACUCAACAUAAAUAGUGCCUCAUGCAAGUCCUCUCAGUGCAGCAAGGGCGCUUGACAAGAACCUUUUGCAUAUGCACACCAUACUGUGCGUACACAGCAUGCUAGGGGACAUGUCCUGACGCUCUUGGAUGCCUGGAAAGUGUCCUGUAUGCACCAUCCCGCAUGGUCGCCCGUGUCUACCCCAUUAGCCAACACGUUGGUUCCUGGGAAAUGCAAAUAGAGGCAUCGAGCCUCUGUUUGCUGAUUGUUUCCAUUUUUCCUUUCAUUUCAGCAUUUUAAUCCAUCUACAUAAUGUUAUAGAUCAUUCUAGUAAUCACAUUCCAUCAAAAUCAUCAUUAAAAACAAGGUUAAAUCAUCAAAAUCAUGCAUGCAACAUACACACCCUCUGCAUCAAUUAAAACAAUAAGAAUACAUGCAUUGUUUGAAGAUUUAAUCACCCUACAUGCAUCUAUAAAACCAAAUCCAGUUAAAAACUAACUACCACCAAUCUUAAUAUAAAGAAGAAGGUCUAAGCACUCCAAACACACGAGGAAAUUGACCUAAAAGCAAGAAGAACAGCUAGCAACACACUUGUGCGACGGUGGCCGCACUAGUCGGGUUUUUGAGUUUAAUCCACAAUUUUUAGGUUGUUUUACCAUAUCAAUUCAGUUUAAAUUCAAGUUAGAACCUAAAUAAACUAAUCUAAAGCUGCAAAACAAAUAAAUAACCGAAAGGAAAAAAUAAGGAAGAAUAACAUACUUACUUGAACAGUCCUGAUUGAUACUGUUAUGGUUGCAGAAUGAGCUUCAAUCAAAACUGGAAGAAAGAUUUUUGUGUUUGGGUGAAAAAGGAAUGAGCAAAUUAAUGGAAGAAAGAGCUAAUCUACUUGAAACAGAAGUAGAUGCUUAUCUGAGAAGAUAAGAAACCAUCUUCUCGUCUAGAUAGCACGCGUAAUUUUCUGCACUCUUCUUCUCUCAAUUUUUACUCUCUUUCUCUCACUAGAUUCUCUCUAAAUUUGACUCUCUCUCUGGUUUUCUAUUUGCUCGAAAAAAUGAAGAACUAGAGAAGAAAGUGGAAAGGAGGCAUCAUUUUAUACCCCAUGUUGCGGCAUCCUUAGCCCUCUAAUGACAUGCAAUGCAUUUGGGCCAUUAG
This 1152-nucleotide long non-coding RNA is filed under the name Carica papaya (papaya). Its description in RNAcentral is "long non-coding RNA (CPAP_LNC000482)". Lineage: Eukaryota; Viridiplantae; Streptophyta; Magnoliopsida; Brassicales; Caricaceae. The record is from RNAcentral.